This is a non-coding RNA of Otolemur garnettii (small-eared galago), 206 nucleotides long. Lineage: Eukaryota; Metazoa; Chordata; Mammalia; Primates; Galagidae. The record is from Rfam.
GUUCUCUGCUAGAUCUCGCCGGGGUCGCCUUUCUUGCGCACUUUGGUUAUUGAUCCUGCCGAAUCGGCCAGAGCGCAGAGGCUGCGCUUCCCUGAGGAUGAAAGGAGUGGAGAAGGUGAGUAUACAAGGGAAACGGUGGUGGGGAGGAGAGGUUGAUAAAUUUCAGGAGACAGUGUAGGGCGUUCCUCAGUACCCCAGCGCUGCCC